AGAGUUUGAUCAUGGCUCAGGAUGAACGCUAGCGGGAGGCUUAACACAUGCAAGUCGAGGGGCAGCACGAGGUAGCAAUACUUUGGUGGCGACCGGCGCACGGGUGAGUAACGCGUAUGUAACCUACCUUGUACAGGGGGAUAGCCCGGAGAAAUUCGGAUUAAUACCCCAUAAAGAUAUUUUGGGGCAUCUUAAGAUAUUUAAAGUUUCGACGGUACGGGAUGGGCAUGCGUAACAUUAGCUAGUUGGUAGGGUAAUGGCCUACCAAGGCUACGAUGUUUAGGGGUCCUGAGAGGGUGAUCCCCCACACUGGUACUGAGACACGGACCAGACUCCUACGGGAGGCAGCAGUGAGGAAUAUUGGUCAAUGGGCGCAAGCCUGAACCAGCCAUCCCGCGUGCAGGAAGACGGCGCUAUGCGUUGUAAACUGCUUUUCCAGGGGAAGAAAACCCGCUACGAGUAGCGGCUUGCCGGUACCCUGGGAAUAAGCAUCGGCUAACUCCGUGCCAGCAGCCGCGGUAAUACGGAGGAUGCGAGCGUUAUCCGGAUUUAUUGGGUUUAAAGGGUGCGUAGGCGGAUUAAUAAGUCAGUGGUGAAAACCUGCAGCUUAACUGUAGAACUGCCAUUGAUACUGUUAGUCUUGAGUACGGUCAAGGUAGGCGGAAUGUGUAAUGUAGCGGCGAAAUGCUUAGAUAUUACACAGAACACCGAUUGCGAAGGCAGCUUACUGGGCCAUUACUGACGCUGAUGCACGAAAGCGUGGGGAGCGAACAGGAUUAGAUACCCUAGUAGUCC
This 795-nucleotide ribosomal RNA is filed under the name uncultured bacterium. RNAcentral's name for it is "bacterial SSU rRNA". It matches the Rfam family "Bacterial small subunit ribosomal RNA", at positions 8 to 796 of the family's 1533-position model. The record is from RNAcentral.